UACGUAGGGUGCAAGCGUUGUCCGGAAUUAUUGGGCGUAAAGAGCGUGUAGGCGGCCCGAUUAGUCCGCUGUGAAAGUCCAGGGCUCAACCCUGGAAUGCCGGUGGAUACUGUCGGGCUAGAGUCCGGAAGGGGCGAGUGGAAUUCCUGGUGUAGCGGUGAAAUGCGCAGAUAUCGGGAGGAACACCAGUGGCGAAGGCGACUACCUGGCCUGUUCUUGACGCUGAGGCGCGAAAGCUAGGGGAGCAAACGGG
This 253-nucleotide ribosomal RNA is filed under the name uncultured bacterium. RNAcentral describes it as "partial 16S ribosomal RNA". It matches the Rfam family "Bacterial small subunit ribosomal RNA", at positions 524 to 776 of the family's 1533-position model. The record is from RNAcentral.